This 473-nucleotide ribosomal RNA is filed under the name uncultured bacterium. Its description in RNAcentral is "bacterial SSU rRNA". It matches the Rfam family "Bacterial small subunit ribosomal RNA", at positions 335 to 803 of the family's 1533-position model. The record is from RNAcentral.
ACUCCUACGGGAGGCAGCAGUGGGGAAUAUUGGACAAUGGGCGCAAGCCUGAUCCAGCCAUGCCGCGUGUGUGAAGAAGGCCCUCGGGUUGUAAAGCACUUUCAGUGAGGAAGAAAGCUUGUCGGUUAAUACCCGGCAAGGACGACAUCACUCACAGAAGAAGCACCGGCUAACUCCGUGCCAGCAGCCGCGGUAAUACGGAGGGUGCGAGCGUUAAUCGGAAUUACUGGGCGUAAAGCGUGCGUAGGCGGCUUGGUAAGCCGGUUGUGAAAGCCCCGGGCUCAACCUGGGAACGGCAUCCGGAACUGUCAGGCUAGAGUGCAGGAGAGGAAGGUAGAAUUCCCGGUGUAGCGGUGAAAUGCGUAGAGAUCGGGAGGAAUACCAGUGGCGAAGGCGGCCUUCUGGACUGACACUGACGCUGAGGUACGAAAGCGUGGGUAGCAAACAGGAUUAGAUACCCUGGUAGGCGUAGU